CUACCAUGCAGUCGAGCGAGGUCCAUCCGGUGGCAACACCGGGGAAGACCUAGCGGCCNNUNGGNGAGUAACACGAUGUAGCAACCUGCCCCGAAGACUGGGAUAACACCGGGAAACCGGUGCUAAAACCGGAUGCCCUCCUCUGGUCGCAUGGCCUAAGGAGGAAAAAGAUUCUGCUUCGGGAGGGGCUCGCGGGCUAUCAGCUUGUUGGUGGGGUAACGGCUCACCAAGGCGACGACGGCUAGCUGGUCUGAGAGGACGACCAGCCACACUGGGACUGAGACACGGCCCAGACUCCUACGGGAGGCAGCNGUGGGGAAUCUUGCGCAAUGGGCGAAAGCCUGACGCANCAACGCCGCGUGGGGGAUGAAGGCCUUCGGGUUGUAANCCCCUUUCAGCANGGACGAAUCUGANGGUACCUGC
This 423-nucleotide ribosomal RNA is filed under the name uncultured bacterium. RNAcentral's name for it is "partial 16S ribosomal RNA". It matches the Rfam family "Bacterial small subunit ribosomal RNA", at positions 48 to 482 of the family's 1533-position model. The record is from RNAcentral.